GUCUAAGGCCAUGCCACCGUGAGCGUGCUGGAUCUUGUCUGAUCUCAGAAAAUAAGCAGUGUUGGGCCUGGUUAGUAUUUGGAUGGGAGACCACCUAGGAAUACUAGAUGCUGUAGAUG
Molecule: ribosomal RNA, 119 nt
Filed under: Pteropus alecto (black flying fox)
Lineage: Eukaryota; Metazoa; Chordata; Mammalia; Chiroptera; Pteropodidae
Source: RNAcentral